CUUCUGCUUCUAUCUAUUAACAUAAAUAAUCCAGAUAUAUAUAAGAAUUUACACUAAAGUUAUAUUUAAUAUAAACUUAUAAUAUUCUAAAUAUAUAUUUGCUCUAAUAACAGAAAAUGAAGUUCUCUUUGUCUUAUGCAAGCCUCCCAACAUCUUCCUGUUAUUCUUGUUUCAUGCACACUGUGCCUACAAAAGUUAUUAAUGUAAUUAAAAAUAUAAUAUAUAAUUUCAUUAUAUAAAAUGAAACUAAUCACAAAAGAACAAGUACCUGGAUAUCUUCUUGUCCCCAAUAACGAACAAGUAUCUCCCACUGUUCAGCUUUCACACGCGGAGGAGGUCUAGAGAUAAGAUUUUCUUUCCUCUGGUGCUCAUCCUAGUAAUGACGCUUGAUAUAAGACUUCCAAUUCCUCCACAUCUCACCAACCGACCUUAAACAAUUUUCUCUAUAUUCAUUAGGGGCAUCUGUGUUAUCUUAUAAAAUUAAAAUUUAACAAAAUUAGUAAUCAUAUAAAAUGUAUGAAUAUAAAAGACAAG
This 534-nucleotide long non-coding RNA is filed under the name Elaeis guineensis (African oil palm). RNAcentral describes it as "long non-coding RNA (EGUI_LNC016175)". Lineage: Eukaryota; Viridiplantae; Streptophyta; Magnoliopsida; Arecales; Arecaceae. The record is from RNAcentral.